CUUCACCGACCCCAGCCACAAAGGCCGGUCCGCGUCCCGCCCCUUGCCGUACGUCGCCAGCAGCGCCUGCGCCUC
Non-coding RNA from Streptomyces oceani, 75 nucleotides. The record is from Rfam. NCBI's taxonomy places the organism in Bacteria, Bacillati, Actinomycetota, Actinomycetes, Kitasatosporales, Streptomycetaceae.